This is an RNA transcript of Homo sapiens (human), 927 nucleotides long. It is a transcript of the gene named general transcription factor IIi pseudogene 8, with no coding region annotated. Lineage: Eukaryota; Metazoa; Chordata; Mammalia; Primates; Hominidae. The transcript is spliced from 9 exons. The record is from RefSeq and is a predicted model, not a curated record.
CGUACCCCGAGCUGGAGGCUUGAGCCUGUGGCAUCUAGGCUCGCCUCACUGCGGUUGGUGGAGGUGACGGAGGUUGCAGCUUGGCCAGCAUGGUAGAAAGGUGGCAGGGCACAUCUGGCUUUUACCACCCAGAUGCUUCGAGCCAGGAGCUGGAGGAGUCAUCUGUUGCACGCUGGAGGCUGGAGCCUGCAGAUGGCAUGGUUCUGUGGCUCCCCUCGCUGCAGUUGGUGGCAGAGACAGAGACUGCAGCUUGACCGGAGUGGUGGAGUGGUGUGUAUCUCAAGAUCACUCCACAACAAAGAUUCUGCCUGCAGUCCUCCACUUCAAGGGAUCAUGGCCCAAGUUUUAGUGUCUACCCUGUCCAUUGAAGAUGAGGACUCCUAUGAGAGCAGGAUGGUGGUGACGUUCCUCAUGUCAGCUCUUGAGUCCACGUGUAAAAAACUGGCCAAGUUUAAGGCCAAAGUGGCCUGCAUCACAGAGUAUAAAGCAGAUCUCUUUGCCUUCAGAACUGAAGGACAGAGGACACAAUUUUUUCAAUACCAGAAAGGAUUUUCAAGCCGAUUUUGUGAAAUAUUGUGUUGAAGAAGAAGAAAAGGUUGCAGAGAUGUGUAAAAUAAAGUCUACAACCCAGGUGAAUCAGAUGAGUGUAGAUGUUGUAGAAAUGGCAACACUCGGAAAAAAACAGUUGAGGACUAUUUCUGCUUUUGCUGGAAAGCUUUACAAAAACCCACAGAGGUACCUGUACCAUAUGAGAAGAUGCUACAAGACCAGUCAGCUUUGAUAGUACAGGGGCUUCCAGAAGGUGUUGCCUUUAAACACCCUGAGAAUUAUGAUCUUGCAACCCUGGAAUGGAUUUUGGAGUACACAGCUGGGAUUUCAUUUAUUAUUAAGAGAUCUUUCUUAGAGCCAAAGAAGCAUCUAGAUUAG